RNAcentral lists this ribosomal RNA (468 nucleotides) under uncultured bacterium. RNAcentral's name for it is "partial 16S ribosomal RNA". It matches the Rfam family "Bacterial small subunit ribosomal RNA", at positions 28 to 507 of the family's 1533-position model. The record is from RNAcentral.
GACGAACGCUGGCGGCGUGCUUAACACAUGCAAGUCGAACGGAAAGGCCCUGCUUUUGUGGGGUGCUCGAGUGGCGAACGGGUGAGUAACACGUGAGUAACCUGCCCUUGACUUUGGGAUAACUUCGGGAAACUGGGGCUAAUACCGGAUAGGAGCUCCUGCUGCAUGGUGGGGGUUGGAAAGUUUCGGCGGUUGGGGAUGGACUCGCGGCUUAUCAGCUUGUUGGUGGGGUAGUGGCUUACCAGGGCUUUGACGGGUAGCCGGCCUGAGAGGGUGACCGGCCGCAUUGGGACUGAGAUACGGCCCAGACUCCUACGGGAGGCAGCAGUGGGGAAUAUUGCACAAUGGGCGGAAGCCUGAUGCAGCAACGCCGCGUGCGGGAUGACGGCCUUCGGGUUGUAAACCGCUUUCGCCUGUGACGAAGCGUGAGUGACGGUAAUGGGUAAAGAAGCACCGGCUAACUACGUG